UUACUGAGUUUACGCUCUAUAACCCUUUGUGAACAUACCUAUAACUGUUGCUUCGGCGGGUAGGGUCUCCGUGACCCUCCCGGCCUCCCGCCCCCGGGCGGGUCGGCGCCCGCCGGAGGAUAACCAAACUCUGAUUUAACGACGUUUCUUCUGAGUGGUACAAGCAAAUAAUCAAAACUUUUAACAACGGAUCUCUUGGUUCUGGCAUCGAUGAAGAACGCAGCGAAAUGCGAUAAGUAAUGUGAAUUGCAGAAUUCAGUGAAUCAUCGAAUCUUUGAACGCACAUUGCGCCCGCCAGCAUUCUGGCGGGCAUGCCUGUUCGAGCGUCAUUUCAACCCUCAAGCUCUGCUUGGUGUUGGGGCCCUACAGCUGAUGUAGGCCCUCAAAGGUAGUGGCGGACCCUCCCGGAGCCUCCUUUGCGUAGUAACUUUACGUCUCGCACUGGGAUCCGGAGGGACUCUUGCCGUAAAACCCCCAAUUUUCCAAAGGUUGACCUCGGAUCAGGUAGGAAUACCCGCUGAACUUAAGCAUAUCAAUAAGCGGAGGAAAAGAAACCAACAGGGAUUGCCUCAGUAACGGCGAGUG
RNAcentral lists this ribosomal RNA (585 nucleotides) under fungal endophyte. Its description in RNAcentral is "eukaryotic LSU rRNA". The stretch from base 176 to 329 matches the Rfam family "5.8S ribosomal RNA". The record is from RNAcentral. Lineage: Eukaryota; Fungi.